Molecule: ribosomal RNA, 320 nt
Filed under: uncultured eukaryote
Lineage: Eukaryota
Description: partial 18S ribosomal RNA
Rfam family: Eukaryotic small subunit ribosomal RNA
Source: RNAcentral
CCCUUAGAUGUCCUGGGCCGCACGCGCGCUACACUGAUUCAUGCAACAAGUUUUGUCCUUGGCUGAUAGGCCUGGGUAAUCUUUGAACGUGAAUCGUGAUGGGGAUAGAUGAUUGCAAUUAUUCAUCUUCAACGAGGAAUUCCUAGUAAACGCAAGUCAUCAGCUUGCAUUGAUUACGUCCCUGCCCUUUGUACACACCGCCCGUCGCACCUACCGAUUGAAUGGUCCGGUGAAAUCUCGGGACGGCGGCUUGGUCGCUUGCGUCCGACUGCUGAAACUUGAUUAAACCAUAUCAUUUAGAGGAAGGUGAAGUCGUAACA